Molecule: transfer RNA, 53 nt
Filed under: Dipodomys ordii (Ord's kangaroo rat)
Lineage: Eukaryota; Metazoa; Chordata; Mammalia; Rodentia; Heteromyidae
Source: Rfam by way of RNAcentral
GGGAAGGUGGCUCAGUGGUAGAGUGCUUGCCUUGCAUGCAUGACGCCCUCCCU